UUGAAAUGCUCUGCUGCCCUCAGGCUUUGAAGCACAGACUCAAAAUGUGACCUCUUUCAUUCAAAAUAUGCCUUUCUUUUCUCUGAAAAUUUACACAAAUCUGACUAACUUGUAAAUAUUAGGGUUUUUUUUGUUGUUUUUUUGUUUUUUUUUUUAUUUCUCAAAUGAGCACACCCUCAGUAAUGGUUUCUUUUAUUCUAAUAGGAAAAAAAAAGAAAAAGAAAGAAGGAUCAUUAAAGACUGAUCUUGACUGAGAACAGCAGCUUAAGGAUACUGUGGUAAAGCUAGAUUUCCACUUUAAUCCCCACCUCCAAAUUUUCCCAGUGAGCCCAAGCCUUGGCACAGGAUCUGAGAGGUAGGAAUCCUAUCUCUUCUAAGCUCCAAACGAUUUGAAGGUUGUAUCAAGAAGAAAGGUCUCUGCCUGAAUACGACAGGGAGAAAAUUCCACCCUAUGACAGAGAAGGCAACAGAGGCAGCCAAGCAGCCCGGAGAGAAAAACUGGGACUGGCAUUUGGAGCAGGAGCCUGGGACUGAUUAGAUGCUCACAUGAUAUCCUAAGAGAAGAGUCAUUUGGAAAAAGAGCUGACUGCAGCAUGUGCAAAGGUACACAUCAGCCAGACACAAAGAUGAAGCCUGCUUCCAGCCUGAAGCUCAUAGCCUCUAAAUCCACCUGAAAGCCCUUCUCCUUAAGGUAUGAACUUAAAAUAGGCCAAAAUGAUUACUCAUUGCAGUAUCAUGUAUCAGUAUCUCUGAUCUUACCAACAUCUCACACACCUGAAUUAAGUGAUGAGACAUCUGAAAUAGUUUUUAUCUCUACUUUCUCUGAAACCAUAAAGGCUGCACUGCUUUGCUUUCUCACUGCACACUUCUUCAGGUGACUUGCCAAUGGGCUCCAUUCUCUAUUGCACAGCAAUGCUCGCAGUAACAAGUUGUUGGAACAGCUCUCCGCACCUCUUUCUCUGACUCAAGAAGAGUGUUUCAUUUUUGUCUCCUAAGUACAGCAUUAUCAGCUGCAUUUUCCAUGUGGAUUCAUUUGUGUAGUAUCUGACAAUAUUUCUGCUCCUUCUGGGCCCUUUUCUGUUGCUGUCUAGAUUUACACAAUUUUUCUAAGCAGAGGGAAGAAAUGUCUUAGUUCAAUCAGGUAGUGCUGUCCUGCACCAGAGUUUAAAAGACAUACACAUCUUCUGUUUCCUUUUGCAAGUGCUACUAUACAAUCUUCAAGCUGCAGUGACAGGAAAUAGUUAAGACCUACGUACACUAAAGUGAAAACAUCUAGUGUAACAUGAAAAGAAACUUGCUAAUAUAGAACAAAAAGCAAUACAGAUGAGCAUCAGUACCAAGUGCAGGCUACAAUCCUGCAGAUGACUAACACACUGGCAAAACCAUUCAUAUUUACAUGAACAUUGUAUAAGUGCCAAGUGCACCAAGAUGUUGCAUAGAAGGUCUGGUCAUGUAAGGUAAAGCUUCCCAGAGGCACCCUUUAAUUGGUCUAAUUUUCCCUGCC
This 1504-nucleotide long non-coding RNA is filed under the name Coturnix japonica (Japanese quail). RNAcentral describes it as "lncRNA (ENSCJPG00005007325.1)". The record is from RNAcentral. Lineage: Eukaryota; Metazoa; Chordata; Aves; Galliformes; Phasianidae.